This 461-nucleotide ribosomal RNA is filed under the name uncultured bacterium. Its description in RNAcentral is "partial 16S ribosomal RNA". It matches the Rfam family "Bacterial small subunit ribosomal RNA", at positions 29 to 507 of the family's 1533-position model. The record is from RNAcentral.
AUGCACGCUGCCAGAAUGCUUAACACCUGCAAGUCUUUGGCGAAGCUGUGCUUGCACAGCCUAGCCAAGGCGGACGGGUGAGUAACGCGUAAGGAACUUGCCCUGCAGUCAGGGAUAACAGACGGAAACGACUGAUAAGACCUGGUAAAGUCAGGCGGACUCAUGUCCAGCCUGAUGAAAAGAGAUGCUGCAGGAGAGCCUUGCGUCCUAUUAGCUUGUUGGUGGGGUAACGGCCCACCAAGGCGAUGAUAGGUAGCCGGCCUGAGAGGGUGGACGGCCACAAGGGGACUGAGAUACGGCCCUUACUCCUACGGGAGGCAGCAGUGGGGAAUAUUGGACAAUGGGGGCAACCCUGAUCCAGCAAUUCGGUGUGCACGAUGAAGGUUUUCGGAUUGUAAAGUGCUUUCAGCAGGGAAGAAAAAAUGACGGUACCUGCAGAAGAAGCGACGGCUAAAUACGUG